GGGUGAUAGUCCCGUACACUAAAGCAACCUUUAAGUGAAAUCGAGUAGGACGGAGCACGUGAAACUUUGUCUGAAUAUGGGGGGACCAUCCUCCAAGGCUAAAUACUACUAACUGACCGAUAGUGAACCAGUACCGUGAGGGAAAGGCGAAAAGAACCCCGGAGAGGGGAGUGAAAUAGAACCUGAAACCGCAUACGUACAAGCAGUGGGAGCCUGGUUACGACCGGGUGACUGCGUACCUUUUGUAUAAUGGGUCAGCGACUUAAUUUUAGUAGCAAGGUUAACCGAUUAGGGGAGCCGUAGGGAAACCGAGUCUUAAUAGGGCGUUUAGUUGCUAGGAUUAGACCCGAAACCGAGCGAUCUACCCAUGGCCAGGUUGAAGGUUGAGUAACAUCAACUGGAGGACCGAACCCACGUAUGUUGAAAAAUGCGGGGAUGAGCUGUGGGUCGGAGUGAAAGGCUAAUCAAGCUCGGAGAUAGCUGGUUCUCCUCGAAAUCUAUUUAGGUAGCGCCUCGUGUAUCACUGCUGGGGGUAGAGCACUGUUAUGGCUAGGGGGCCAUCCCGGCUUACCAAACCAUUGCAAACUCCGAAUACCAGCAAGUGCAAUCACGGGAGACACACAGCGGGUGCUAACGUCCGUUGUGGAAAGGGAAACAACCCAGACCGCCAGCUAAGGUCCCAAAAUCACAGCUCAGUGGGAAACGAUGUGGGAAGGCACAGACAGCUAGGAGGUUGGCUUAGAAGCAGCCAUCCUUUAAAGAAAGCGUAAUAGCUCACUAGUCGAGUCGGCCUGCGCGGAAGAUUUAAUCUUAUCGUUACUCAUGUCAGCAUUCGCACUUCUGAUACCUCCAGCAAACUUUACAAUUCACCUUCAUUGGCUUACAGAACGCUCCUCUACCAUGCCAGUAAACUGGCAUCCGCAGCUUCGGUACAUAUCUUAAGCCCCGCCGGGUGAAAAACCCGUCCGCCGAAAACCCAAGGUUUCCUGCGCAACGCUAAUCGGCGCAGGGUUAGUCGGCCCCUAAGGCGAGGCAGAGAUGCGUAGUCGAUGG
Priapulus caudatus is the source of this 1053-nucleotide long non-coding RNA. RefSeq lists it as uncharacterized. The transcript has 2 exons. Lineage: Eukaryota; Metazoa; Priapulida; Priapulimorpha; Priapulimorphida; Priapulidae. The record is from RefSeq and is a predicted model, not a curated record.